CCCCACGCGAGUUCUCUCGCUCUGCCCACAAGCUCGUGCAUGCAUUUGUUUUGGGGCUUCCGGCGGGGAUGCACUCAAUCAAACAUGCGAUUGGCCCACGAGGGCAACUUCAGCCGACUUUGUUCCUCCCCGCCCCCUGGUGGCUAAUUCAGUUGGCUGCGUAAUUUCAAAGCCAUUUAUCUACUCAUAUUCAACGAAGAUGAAGUUUGUUUAAUUUUGCCUACGAGGGUGACUGCGCAGGGGCUGAAGGUAAAAUGGGAGAAACGCCGCAGGUCAAGCGGGGCUCGCACGAGCCAAUCCGCUGUGGGGCGUGUUGCCAUGACAACAGCGCAAACGCCACUCCCAGAUUCCAGAACGUUCCCCAUGUGCUGUGGAGUUAUACUCUGGGAAAAGCAGUUGACUCCAUAAUUUUCCAGGAACUGGCUGGGAAUCAGCCCUGUUUCCCCGCCCACUACAUGACAGGCCUGGAGGAGGGGCCAGAAUCUCAGAGACAAACAGGUGUACCCCGUUCUCUCCCUGCUGCUAUGUGCUGCUCAUUCGCCUCAGCAGAACCUGCAGAGAGAGACAGCCUGUCCAAUCAGGAGAGAGAAGAACAGAGAGAACAGCCUGUCCAAUCAGGUGAAGACCGAAACCUGCAAACCCGACGGCUCUCCAGGGGACCAGGGCUGGGGACCCCAGAUACAACUGGCGAAAUCUCUUCUGCACGGCCGAGGAACGGGAAAAUGCGGACGCAGCAGGUCCUUAAUUUCACAUGAAACAAUUACCAUUGGAUUGGUUUUCCUUCACCUGUGUGAGAACCUUUCUGACUCCUGUAGAAGCUUCUGGAACUGAGGACCAAGCGUGGCAGACUGAGGGCUCACUGAUGCUUUCAGCCUUCUGUGAACCAGAGUUAGCCCAGAUGCUGCUGUCGUAUUUCAGGCAGAAUCUCUCUGAAGAGUUAUUCAUAAAUAUUUCAUAAAACCAAGAUGACAAUAUUUUACUGCGUGCAAUUUCUGGCACAAUGUAAGAACCUGUGUUUAUGUACCUUUGUUUAUGUACCACCUGUGUUCACACUCACCCGGAGUUUGCCGGUGGCUGAAGAACAGAGUGAAAUACUGUUAUCCUGUGUUUUUUAAAUUGUGGUCUAUCACUGUUACAACUGAAAUAUGACUCCUGUUGAAGGGCCGGGACUAUAUUUAAUAUUUUCAGCUGUCAUUCUUUGCUGUCUAUUUAUGACACCGAUCUACUGCUUGAU
Long non-coding RNA from Anguilla rostrata (American eel), 1234 nucleotides. RefSeq lists it as uncharacterized. The record is from RefSeq and is a predicted model, not a curated record. NCBI's taxonomy places the organism in Eukaryota, Metazoa, Chordata, Actinopteri, Anguilliformes, Anguillidae. The transcript is spliced from 6 exons.